RNAcentral lists this unclassified non-coding RNA (348 nucleotides) under soil metagenome. RNAcentral describes it as "partial contains 5.8S ribosomal RNA, internal transcribed spacer 2, and large subunit ribosomal RNA". The stretch from base 1 to 120 matches the Rfam family "5.8S ribosomal RNA", at positions 35 to 154 of the family's 154-position model. The record is from RNAcentral.
GAUGAAGAACGUAGCGAAAUGCGAUAAGUAAUGUGAAUUGCAGAAUUCAGUGAAUCAUCGAGUCUUUGAACGCACAUUGCGACCCCUGGUAUUCCGGGGGGCAUGCCUGUCCGAGCGUCAUUGCCGCCCUCAAGCACGGCUUGUGUGUUGGGCCCCCGCCCCCCGGCUUCGGGGGGCGGGCCCGAAAGGCAGCGGCGGCACCGCGUCCGGUCCUCGAGCGUAUGGGGCUUCGUCACCCGCUCUGUAGGCCCGGCCGGCGCCCGCCGGCGACCCCAAUCAAUCUUUCCAGGUUGACCUCGGAUCAGGUAGGGAUACCCGCUGAACUUAAGCAUAUCAAUAAGCGGAGGA